CCCCAAGUCAACAACCUGUAAUUCCUAUUAAACAUCCAUGGAAAGUCAACUUGAUAGAUGAUAGAUGCAUUCUAAUUUCCUUGCCCUAGCCCUAAAACUGGUACAAACCGUGCUUAUCAGACAUUUUUGAGACACAUUUUGAAAUCGACCUAUUUUAUACAAGACGCCGCCGUUAUCUGAUUAGUUAGUGCCUGUGUGUAAUCGGUGAAAAGUCACAGCUUAGUUUCUUUUAAAUAAUUAUUUCAGUAGAAGUUUUGAAGAUGAAGUUUACGAUACUAAUUCUGUCACUAGUCAUCAUUGGAAUGGUUGCAGCCGACUUGUCAAGCUUUUCUCAGUUGUUCCAAAAAUCUAAAAGACAAGAACCCUUUUGUAUAGACGAUUUAGACUGUGGAUUUUCACCUCUGUCUUGCAACACUGCUUGUGUCAACAUUCUAAAGUGUCUGUUUGCAUUCUGUCACGAGGACAAAGAAUGUUGUUGCUAUGGUUGUCCUUAGAUAUUAAUAAAUUUUGUUUCCCAGAAAUAUA
Molecule: long non-coding RNA, 525 nt
Organism: Mytilus trossulus (common blue mussel)
Lineage: Eukaryota; Metazoa; Mollusca; Bivalvia; Mytilida; Mytilidae
Exons: 4
Source: RefSeq, a predicted model, not a curated record